AACCGACACAGGUGGGUGAGGAGAGUAUCCUAAGGCCAGCGAGAGAACUGUUGUUAAGGAACUCGGCAAAAUGACCCCGUAACUUAGGGAUAAGGGGUGCCACCAUUAGGUGGCCGCAGAGAAUAGGCCCAAGCGACUGUUUACCAAAAACAUAGGUUUCUGCUAAGUCGCAAGACGAUGUAUAGGAGCUGACGCCUGCCCGGUGCUGGAAGG
This 213-nucleotide ribosomal RNA is filed under the name Clostridioides difficile. RNAcentral's name for it is "partial 23S ribosomal RNA". It matches the Rfam family "Bacterial large subunit ribosomal RNA", at positions 1652 to 1876 of the family's 2925-position model. The record is from RNAcentral. Lineage: Bacteria; Bacillati; Bacillota; Clostridia; Peptostreptococcales; Peptostreptococcaceae.